UGGAACUGAGACACGGUCCAGACACAUAACGGGUGGCAGCAGUUUCGAAUCAUUCACAAUGGGCGAAAGCCUGAUGGUGCGACGCCGCGUGAGGGAUGAAGGUCUUCGGAUUGUAAACCUCUGUCACUAGGGAGAAAACGCUUUGAGUUAACAGUUCAAAGCCUGAUUUAACCUGGAGAGGAAGCAGUGGCUAACUCUGUGCCAGCAGCCGCGGUAAUACAGAGACUGCAAGCGUUAUUCGGAUUCACUGGGCGUAAAGGGUGCGCAGGCGGCCGUGUGUGUAAGGUGUGAAAUCCCGGGGCUCAACCCCGGAACUGCGCCUUAAACUACAUGGCGUAAGAGUAUUGGAGAGG
RNAcentral lists this ribosomal RNA (353 nucleotides) under Oscillatoria acuminata NTMS02. RNAcentral describes it as "bacterial SSU rRNA". It matches the Rfam family "Bacterial small subunit ribosomal RNA", at positions 314 to 659 of the family's 1533-position model. Lineage: Bacteria; Bacillati; Cyanobacteriota; Cyanophyceae; Oscillatoriales; Oscillatoriaceae. The record is from RNAcentral.